UACGGAGGGUGCGAGCGUUGUCCGGAAUCAUUGGGCGUAAAGGGCGCGUAGGUGGCCCGGUCAGUCUUUGGUGAAAGCGCGGGGCUCAACCCUGCGUCGGCCAGGGAUACUGCCGCGGCUGGAGCACUGUAGAGGCAGGCGGAAUUCCGGGUGUAGCGGUGGAAUGCGUAGAGAUCCGGAAGAACACUGGUGGCGAAGGCGGCCUGCUGGGCUAUGGCUGACACUGAGGCGCGACAGCGUGGGGAGCAAACAGG
RNAcentral lists this ribosomal RNA (254 nucleotides) under uncultured bacterium. RNAcentral describes it as "partial 16S ribosomal RNA". It matches the Rfam family "Bacterial small subunit ribosomal RNA", at positions 524 to 776 of the family's 1533-position model. The record is from RNAcentral.